CGGGGGGAGCAAGCGUUGUUCGGAUUUACUGGGCGUAAAGGGCGCGUAGGCGGCCACCGCAAGUCGACUGUGAAAUCUCUGGGCUUAACCCAGAACGGUCAGCCGAUACUGCGGGGCUGGAGUGCAGAAGGGGCAACUGGAAUUCUCGGUGUAGCGGUGAAAUGCGUAGAUAUCGAGAGGAACACCUGCGGCGAAGGCGGGUUGCUGGGCUGACACUGACGCUGAGGCGCGAAAGCUAGGGGAGCGAACGGGAUUAGAUACCCCGGUAGUCCUAGCCUUAAACGAUGAAUGCUUGGUGUCUGGGGUUUUAUAGUCCCCGGGUGCCGUCGCUAACGCUUUAAGCAUUCCGCCUGGGGAGUACGGUCGCAAGACUG
This 374-nucleotide ribosomal RNA is filed under the name uncultured organism. RNAcentral's name for it is "bacterial SSU rRNA". It matches the Rfam family "Bacterial small subunit ribosomal RNA", at positions 526 to 896 of the family's 1533-position model. The record is from RNAcentral.